Long non-coding RNA from Callithrix jacchus (white-tufted-ear marmoset), 2237 nucleotides. NCBI's taxonomy places the organism in Eukaryota, Metazoa, Chordata, Mammalia, Primates, Cebidae. The record is from Ensembl.
GGGUGAUGCUUCUACGAGACAAGAAUACCAAAGACUGCAGGCAGGCCAACAGAAGCAGAGGAAGGCAUGCUUCAGAUGCCCUCUCACAGCCCACAGGAGGUGUCAACUCUAAUGACACUGUGUGUGUGUGUGUGUACGAGCGCGCGUGGGUGCGUAUGUAUGUGUGUGUGUGUGUGUUUUCAGACAGUUCCUCUCUGUUGCUCAGGUUGAAGUGCAGUGGUGGGAAUGGGAACAUGGAUCACUGCAGGCUCAACCUUUCAGGCUCAGGUGGAGCGGAGAUCACACCACUGCACUCCAGCCUGGCAACAGAGCAAGAUUCCGUCUCAAAAAAAAAAAAAGAGAAGAAAAGAAAAAAGAUUAUAGAAUAGGAAUUUAAGACCUUAGGCCAAUUAUUCAGAACUCUGUUACUGGAAAAUUAAGAAGAGGAGCAGAAAUCACCAAGGGAGACAAAGAUAAAGAGCCAGAGGAAUAGAGAAGAACAUUUGGAGCCAAGAAAAGAGGCUAUUCCAAAGAGGUGUGGUCAACAAUAUUGUAUUCUACUAAGUCUUCAAAUAUAAAUACAAAAAAAUUCAAUUUUGGCAUUAUGGCAGUCAUUGUUAACCUUAGCAGAGAUCAGAGAAAUGGAGGGAGCAUGCAUGCAAAGGAGAUGAAAACAUCUUGCGAAAACAUCUUGCAAAAACUCUACAAAGUUUGACUGUGGAAAAGUGCAGAGGAGGAAAGUGGUAACUCUAUUAAUCAGGAUGAUUUAAGGAAGCUGUCUCUACAGACAAACCCAAGGACUUUACACAGUAACUGUUUGUUUUGUUCAUGCGGUGUUUAAUGACGACCUUCCCCAACCCACCCUGUGGUUCUGCCAUCUGGAACACAUGACCUCUAUGUUCACCAGGGCAGAGAAAGGAUUUUUGGAAGAGUGACGCACAUUAUUACUGUUACACAUCACUUUCUCUCCCAAUCCAUGGACCAGAGCCAGACUCAUGGUCCAGGGAAGUUACGAAUCUUAGGAGCACACUUGGAAUAUCUGAUGCACUUGUAUAGUGUUUUUAUCACAAAAUCUCAAGCAGGAUGUGGAGUCAAAAGAUGUUUUUAUUUGUCGGUUGAUUUAUUUUGUUUGUCUAUUUGUCUUUAAGAUAGGAAAUACUAGAGCACAUCUGUUAUCUGAUGGAAACAUCAGAUAGAGAGUUGUAGAAGCAUCAAAGAAAGAAAUCUCAGAAGACAAAUUUCAUGAGAAGGCAGAGAAUGGUAUCCAAAACAGAGGAGUAAUGGCCAUUGGUAUUUUCUCUGCUGAAUCGCAGUCCUAAAAGGAAACAAUGGAUGUGAGUUGAGGUAUACUUUUUUUUUUUUUUUUUUUUGAGACAGAGUUUCGCUGUUGUUACCCAGACUAGAGUGCAAUGGCACGAUCUCGGCUUACGGCAACCUCCGCCUUCUGGGUUCAAGCAAUUAUCCUGCCUCAGCCUCCCGAGUAGCUGGGACUACAGGCGUGCACCACCAUGCCCAGCUAAUUUUUUUUUUUGUAUUUUUAGUAGAGACGGGGUUUCAUCUUGUUGACCAGGAUGGUCUUAAUCUCUUGACCUUGUGAUCCACCCACCUCAGCCUCCCAAAGUGCUGGGAUUAUAGGCGUGAGCCACCGCACCCGGCCGAGUUGAGGUAUAUUUAUUAAUUUGGUGAUGGAAGAUGAAAAAGUAACCGUUAGACAAUGUCUAUUCCCUCAUGAUAAUGUGAGCUGAAAGUUGAGACGUGGUGCAGGGUGGUGUGAAAGCCCAGAAGAUUGAGGAGCAUGGUAAAGGCAUGAAAUCAUUUCUACAAAGAAUGGAAGUCUUUCACUUGGCAACCUAUCUGGCUUAUUUUCUGCUGUAAUAUUCAGUCCUCAAAUUACCCUAAAAUAUUUAACGUAACUCAAAUAUGCUAUGUGCCUGCUCACGUUCCAUGACUUUAUUCUUGCUUUUCCUCUGCCUAGGCUGCUAUCCCCGGUCCCACCUUAUCUACCCUGUAAAAUUUGACUCAUCCUUCAGCUGUUAACUCAGGUAUGGGUUCUUUUAUGAAGGCCUUUCUAUUCCAUCAGAGUUAGUUCCUUACCCUUUCUCCUCCAGUAAUCCACAUCUCAUGGGCUCUAAGUUUCCUGAGAUCAUGAAACCUGUCUGUUCAUCUUUAUUCUUAGACAUAGCACAGAACAUUGUGCAAAAUAAAGAUAUACUUAUAAUUGCUUUUGAACUAGCUAUAGACAUUUAGUAGAAUAUAAA